UACAGAGGGGGGCAAGCGUUUAUUCGGAAUUAUUGGGCGUAAAGGGCGCGUAGGCGGCUUUGCAAGUGGCGGGUGAAAUCCCUCGGCUUAACCGAGGAACUGCCUGCCAGACUGUGAGGCUUGAGACCGGGAGAGGUGAGUGGAAUUCCCAGUGUAGCGGUGAAAUGCGUAGAUAUUGGGAGGAACACCAGUGGCGAAGGCGGCUCACUGGACCGGAACUGACGCUGAGGCGCGAAAGCGUGGGGAGCAAACAGG
This 255-nucleotide ribosomal RNA is filed under the name uncultured bacterium. Its description in RNAcentral is "partial 16S ribosomal RNA". It matches the Rfam family "Bacterial small subunit ribosomal RNA", at positions 524 to 776 of the family's 1533-position model. The record is from RNAcentral.